Molecule: long non-coding RNA, 781 nt
Filed under: Sus scrofa (pig)
Lineage: Eukaryota; Metazoa; Chordata; Mammalia; Artiodactyla; Suidae
Description: lncRNA (ENSSSCG00070022862.1)
Source: RNAcentral
UUGGGCAGACAGCCCCCCUGCCUUUCUCAUCCCUUUUCCUAUAACCCGUUGUCUACCAGUGGGAAAAUGUAUAAGCCCAGCUGUUCGAGAAGUGAGAAAGGGAGAGACAAGAGGGGAAAUUAGAUGAGGUUGAUGCAACUUGCACAAAGAAUACUUCAAGCUAUGCUUUUUUUGUAAUCCAGAAAAGCCGGAACCAACCCAAGUCUCCAACAAUCAGGAACUAGCUAAACAAACUUUAGCAUAUGAAAAAAUGGAAUCUUACAUCACCGUGACUGAUGCUACGUGCAAAACAGUGUGGAUAAUGGCUACAUGUGGAUCUGGGGACUACAUCAAACUGUUUAAUGUCAAACAGGCAAACAGACCACGGCCCAGGGGCCAGGCGUGCUGGGAGUGAGCUCCCCAAGGAGCAGCGUGGUGACAGAGGGCUCUCCUGAGUGCUUCCAUGGCCUCAUUAGCACCUCACUCACUGCUGGGGACCAGAGCACGAAGAUGAAAAGCAUCUUUACAGAGGUAAUUGUACCUGUGGGGAAAAGAUAGUUUUGGUUUGAAUUUAUUUUUUCCUUCCCAAGACAUAAAAGCAUUUUACUUUUCUUAAUCUUUCCAAAUGUAUGAUAUCAAGUCUACCUUCUCCAAUGGGUAGUAGAUCUCUUAAUGGCAUCUUCAGCAGAUCCAUAAUUUUCCAGUUGUUUUCAGAUACUAAGUCUCAGUGCCAUUUAAAAUAUCAAUUCCAAACUUGACUCUAUUCUCACUUCCUCCCCCUUCUCACCCUCUGCACUGUAAG